Marmota monax (woodchuck) is the source of this 8522-nucleotide long non-coding RNA. RefSeq lists it as uncharacterized. NCBI's taxonomy places the organism in Eukaryota, Metazoa, Chordata, Mammalia, Rodentia, Sciuridae. The transcript has 4 exons. The record is from RefSeq and is a predicted model, not a curated record.
CCCACCUUGAGCGGUUACCCCGUGCUGCUUUCUGCCCAGUGAGACGGCGGAGGAGGCCACAGUGGCUGGGCCUCCAGACACAGCCCCCAGGCCCAGGAUAGGCGAGGUGUGGGGGCGUUCCCACGGCCACCAGGAAGUGUCCACUGACCAACCUUAUAGUGUGAUCAGCGGUACAGAUUCCCCCUCCCGGGGAGGAGAGUGGGCCACAGUGCUCUUCUUUCAGAGUUAUUUGGAGUCAAAUUGGUAAAAUAAUAAUUUUUAUUCAAAGCCAGCUUUGAAGGAAGAUGGAAGAAACUUAAUUGUUUUAAAAACUCCGUCUUUUAAAGCGUUUAAGAGGGGAAGGGCGCACCGGAACCAAGGGCAGGAGCUUCCCGGUUCUGCCUCCUUCCUAGUCCAGUUGGCCAAGAGGCGUUUCACAGGUGUUCACAGGUUCCUGCCCUUGGAGCUGGGACUUCCUGGGCCAGCCUCUGUGCUGCCUUUUAGAUAAAAACGUUAUCUUUUUAACUGAGGAGAAGGAAAGGUAUUACAGAGGCUUUUCUUUAGAGUUUAGAACCUCAAAGAGAGGAUGUUUGAGAUGGAGAAAUGUUGGGAGGCAGUCACAGCCUCCUUGGCCUCCACUCUCAGCAUGAGGAAGCCAUUCCCAAUUUCAGAUGGGUGGGGGCACAAGUUCAGUCUGUUUCAGUUCCAACGGUUGCAAGGGACAGAGAAAGAGGGAUGCUUCCCAGCUUGUGUCAUAAGGCCAUCCAACCUCCGGCCAACCGUGGUACCCGGCCUUACAUAGACAUGUCCAGAAAGAAAACCAGAGGUGGGCCAUGCUCAUGACCAUGGGUCCAUCCGUCCUUCAUCAGACAUUCGCAGAUCAGGCCAGCAGGAUGUGAGUCUAUUCCUGGAAUGGAGAGGUGGGCUGACAGUGGGCUUCUACCCAAGUGCCUCACAGCAGUAAUGACCUAGGAGAAAAGUCACCUCCAUAGAGUGGGAAGGAACCUCUAAACUCUACACCCAUGUUGCUGUCCGGGUUUAGUGUCCAAACGUGUACAAAGGACUUCUACAAUGUCAGCGUGAAGAAGACAGGGGACCUGGGGGCGUUCCCCAAGUCCACCAGGAAGUGUCCACAGACCAACCUUAUAAUGUGACCAGCCUUAUAAAAGGCCAACUCUCUUUUCCUCCCUGGAAAGAGAGUUGGCCAUCCAUGGGUGGGCUCACUUGGACACAAAAUUCCUGAAGUUGGACACGUAGUAUAUAUAACACAUAGGAAAUGCGCAGUGAAAUCCGCCUUCCACCAAACAGAGCUGUCAAAAUGAGGGACAACAACUCACAGGCUGGGAAAGGGUGGCCCACCUGCGGCUUCUGCUUUGGUGGGAGUGGGAGUAGGUGUAGGUAGGAAGUGGGUGCUGCCCUCUCGGGCUGGUGCCUGUCCCCCCCGUGGCCCAGCAGUCCUUUCCUCAGGCGUGUGCCCAAAGCAGGGUGGACAAAUGUGCAGCCAAAGACUGUUCACAACCAUGCUAUUCAUAGUGGCCCGAAUCUGAAAACAACUCCAGUGCCCAUCCACAGAGGAGUGGAUGCAUAGAUGGAGGUUUGUUCCCGGAUGGGUCACGCUCCACCAGCGAGGAUGAAUGCACAAUAGCUCCACACAGCACACUCGGAGCUCGCAGACGCUGGGCCAGAGAACCUGACCCAGGAGCGUACAUGUUGCGCAACACCCUUCGCAUGAAGUUAAAGAGCAGGCAGGGUAGCCUCCAGUGUUAGGAGUCAAGGUGAGUCAUCUUGGGGGGUUCCUGGGGCCCAGGCAAGGGUCUGGGUACUGACUUCAUGGAUGGGCUCCCUUGGACACAAAAUUCCUGAAGCUGGACACAUUGUAUUAUUCUUUUCAUUAUUUGUAUUACUUUAGUAAAAAGCUAACUUUUAAAAAGCUAAUGUGGCUGGGCCUGGUGCCACAUGCCAGUAAUCCCAGAGACUCGGCAGGCUGAGGCAGGAGGAUUGCAAGUUCAGGGCCAGCUUCAGCAACUUAGUGAGGCCCUAAGGAACUCAGGGAGACCUUGUCUCUAAUUAGAAUAUAAAACAUAGGUUGGGGAUGUGGCUCAGUGGUUAAGUCCCCUGGGUUCAAUCCCUGACAUAAACAAACAAGCAAACAAACAAAAAUCUAAUGUGCUUACAAUGUCCUCAGGCCCAGGGGAGGGCUCCCUCCGGUCUGCAUGCGUGCCUUGGUGAGCCCCUCCAAAAGAAGGUAGAGCCACACUGUCUCCAGAAGAUGACACAGCUAUGGCAUGUCAUAGCAACUUCAGAAGAUGCCGUGUUUCCAAACUCCCUGGUCUCCAAGGAGGAAACGCACCGUGGUGGGCUGGGGAGAUGACCUGUUCAGUGGGGAGCAGAGCUGACUCUGGAGGCCGGUCCUGCGGCCAUGCUGGGAAAGAAGGAGGGGAGGGGGUGACCCUUAGAGCCCGGCAUUGCUGGAUGCAGGAGGACCUGGGUCCUGCAGGCACUGAGGUGCAGACAGGAAGGGAGCCGGCUGCAGCCCAGGGUGCAGCUCUGGCCUUCACGGAACCGUCCUGGUGCUGCCCCAGGUACCUUUAAUACUCCAGGGGUUGCCAGUUAGUCUCUGAGAGGGAUGAAGCCUCUUCUGGGCCACAAGUUCCAGCCACCAUGGUGGGACUUCACUGGAGGAGUGAAAGGCAGCUCCCGCGGUGACAAAGGCAGACACUGUCUCCUCCUCCUGGAAGCCCCUGUGCUUCUGCACGGAGCUGCUCCCACACCCCAUUUCUGCACCAUCCUUCCUGCCACUCUGGAGGGAGGUGGGAGAGUGAACCAGGGGACCCUGGACCUUGCAAUCACCAAUAGUAGGAACUGUGGCCAUGUCCUGCCCACCCUAAGCCUGGACUCACUCCUUCUCUGGCUGGGAAGCUGGCCUCCAGGAGGCCCACCAAGAGACUGUGGAGCCGACAUGGCCAUUCUCGGCUGGGCUUGAGGGCUCUGGGUGAGUAUGGUUAGAAUCCUUCCCCCCACUUGCAGGGGAAGGUGACCCAACGGGUUACUGUGGGUCCUCCUUCAUCCCAGCCACACAGGCUGGGAACAGGAAUGAUUCUCCAAUUCUCCAGCCUGCAGAGGAGCUUGGGACCCACUGCCAGCCUCUCCCUGAUUUGAGUCUCCACCCACAGGGACUUGGGGGCUGACCUAGAGGAUAAAGGCGAGAGGCAUUGGGAAGAACAGCCCGAGGCAAGGAGCCUCAGAGGUGCGAAUGGGUGGCCAUGCCUGCGGGGUGUGCACGCAUGUAUGUAUGUGUGUGUGUGUACAUGUGCUCGCAUUCGCGUGACUGGGUCCUGUCCUCCUGGGGGCAGAGGUGGGUUUUACCCAGCAAUUUUAUCAAGGCAGUUUGCAGUAGUUUUGGGGAACAUGGCAAAUAGUCCCCGUGAUGGACAAUGGUCUCGCUCAGUGGAAGAUCAUGGGUGGCCAGCACAGGGGUGGUGGCUGGAGAAACCUGGCCACAGAGGUUGGAGAAAUGUGCCCUGGGAGGGGAAGCUGGCCAGGGCACAGGGACUCUGGCCCUGGAAGAUGGGUCCUGUGUGCAUGGUCCAGGGGCUGGCCAGACCUUGUCCCAAGGCCAGCUCUGUGCCCAUCAGCCCUGUGGCUAAUUCUGUACAGAAGUCCUGUGGCUUGCUCUGUAGGGGCCGCGGAAGGAAGCUGUAGCCAAGAGGAAGAGGAGACCGCUGGUAGCAGAGGGUCCCUCACGGGCAGCGCAGCAUGCUGUGGUGUCUGAAAAAACGGGGUAAUGUGUAGUUUUCCCAUAAGGGGCACGGUCUGGCCGCUCCUGCUUCUCAUGUGGCAUCUGCAUUUUCGGAGGACUCUCCACAUGUCCUCGGCUCAGGGCUCAGAGCUGGGCUGCACCAGGGGCCCCCUGGGACACGUGAGUUUUCUUUCCACCUUUGCUCCCACUGGGUUUGGGUGGGCUCUGCCUCCAUGUGACCCCCCAGCCAAGCUCCCACACCCUUGUGUCCAUCAUGCAUUCGAUGCUUGCUGAGUGCCCCAUGGGUCAGGCCUGGGUGUAGCUGUGGAUGUCCUCUUGAAGGACUUGGACUCCCUGAAGGAGAUCUAGAGCAAGUGGAUUUGACCACCAGGAACCUGGCAGCCUGAGGUCCCCAAUAGCCCAGGAAGCACACUGAGUGGUGGUCAGUCCUGGGGAGACACCACGUUCUGGAGCUCAGGCCCACAGCGUCCCUCAGUCAAAGCAAGCAGCCAUGACCCAUGGAGCCCCACUGCAGCCCUCUAAAGCCCUCUGCACACUUGCUUCUGACAUGAAGAUAUUGCAUCUGGGUUGUCUGGCCAGGGAUCAAGGCGCUUCCCAGAGAGGGGAGAAGUAGCCUUGGGUGGCAAGCUCCCAGGACCCAGGACCCAGGGUCCAGGGCUGUCUGGUAUCCUUGGCUCAUGUUCAGACACAUGCAGAGGUAAAGAGGCCGAGAGAUGCUUGGAGUCAAGAGGCCUGGCUCUCCCAUUUACCAGCCAUGUGACAGUGAGCAAGUCAUAUUCUCUCAAGUGAUGGGGUUGGGCUAGCGUCUCUUAAAGUGCCAAGUGUCUCCAGGAAGGCUGUGAAGGUCUGAACCAAGACCCUGCAGUGAGCAAGGGCCCAGGCGAAGCUUCCCCUGCAUCAGACACCACCCAGGAGCCGUGAGAUGCCUCCUGAACCACUCCAUUCCCUCUCUUCUUAACACAUUUACUGAAUUCCUGGGAUGCGCCUGGAACUUUCCCACAACCCUGCUCUCUGAGGAUAUAGCAAAUCUCUACCCCCAUGAGUUCAACUUCUGCCAGAUUCGACUUUUUCUGUCUUUGUAGACUGCAGGGCCUGGACCAAUGAAUAAAAGUCAUGGGGAGGUGGGUUUAGGUUUGAUGCCAGAAAGAACUUUCUAACCACUCAAGUGACAUUAGAGUGGAAGGACUGCCUUGGGAACAGUGACAAAGCUAUCUCUGGAGAUGUUCAGAAAGAGAUGGAAGGCCUAGCAGAUUUGUGGUGGGUCCCCAUGAUGCUGCCAACUGGUGUUCACAGCCUCCUGCGUUCCACUCCUGUUGUGACCAUAACAAAACACCUGAGGCUAGGUAAUGUGUAAAGAAAAGAGGUGGAUUGACUCACAGUUUUGGAUGCCAAAAGUCCAAAUUGGGUGACCCCAUCAAUUCAGCCUCUGGUGAGGGCCCAGUGGUAGAUGCAUCCUGGCAGGAUUGUUUUUAAGAGAGAGAGAGAGAGAGAGAGAGAGAGAGAGAGAGAGAGAGAGAGAGAGAGAUCACGUGGUAUGACCAGAAGCCAGAGUAAGACUGGGGUCCUCUAAGAACCUGUUAAUAAUCCCUUCUAAGAAUGCACCCCAAUGACCUCUGACCUCCCACCAGGCUCUGCCUGGUUAAGGUCCCACCACCUCAACACCUGCUAAGGACUAAGCCUCCAACCCACGAGCCCUUGGGGAGCCUCCUCUGAAAUGUGGGCAGAGCCCUGACUUGCUUCCAGCCCACAGAACACAGCCAGCGUGACUGGGUGAUGACGUUACGGAACACGUCACAGUUGUCUAACUGGCAGACUCUCUUGCUGGCUUGGUGGCACAAGUGGCCGGACUGGUGUGGCCCAAACAGCAGGGAGUGGGAAGCAGCCUCCAGUCAAAGCCAGAAGACACCGAGGCCCCCAGCAACCCACGCUGCCGGCCACCGUGAGGAUUCAGGCAGUCCUUCCGCAGCUGAGCCUCGGGGAGGCCUGCGGCCCCGAGGACGUCCCUGCACCGAGUCUCUGAGGCAGAGGAGCAGCUGAGCCACGCCGACUCCUGACCCCAGAGACGGGGAGGACAGGUCGGUGUGCGUGGAGCUGCUGAGCGCGCAGUGAUGCCGUCACACGGCCAGCGUCAGGCCACACGAGGUGCGCAUUGGCCAGGUCAGACUGGCUCUCAGAAGACUCAUCCCAACCCGAGGCCAGGGCCAUCUGCACUGAUUUUCAUCUUCUGCGCUGCGCUUAGUUCAGUCCUUGCAUAAACGGGGCCUGCUGCACGUCUGUUCAGCCCUGGCACCGGCUCAGGCACCGAGGACGCGGCUAGCGCACGAGCAGAUCCUGCCUGCACUGCUCAGGGUGGGGGCCAGGACCCUGGGUCUGGGCUCCCUCCAGCUGCUCCCACCCAGAGUGACUCUGGGCACGCCUGCCUGGGGUUGUGCACCUCACGGAUCAAACCUCCGACCUACCCACGCAGGGUCUGCGCAGGUUGAAUGAGCUAAUAUGGCGGCCUGUGGAGAAGCCCACGGAGGGAGGGGUUGUUAUUGUUGUUAUGAAAUGUCACAGGCAUUCCUGCUGGCUGACUCACGGGGCUCCAGACUUGGAGGGCUCCCUUCCAAAUAAGGCACGGACGUGUCCAGGCGGUGGCCUACGGGCUUUGCUGGUCACCCCUGCCGCUGAUGUGAGUGCAGAGCCCGAGUCUGUUGAUCCAGGGCUGGCCUCCUCCUGGCCCCUCCUGAGUGGCCCAGCUGCAGUGUGGCCGUGAAGGGCCCUGUGAGCUGCCUUCACGGAUCCGGGUGGGGGCUGUGGGCUGGUCUCUGAGUCAGAGGACGAAGGAAGACAGGAGUGGACGGCGGCCAGGGGCCGAGCACAUCUCUCGGCGGGAUUUCAGAGGCCAAGGCCUUCCCGGCAAAUCACGCACCAGGUCCCACGUUCCCUUGUGGGAUGGUCCACACCUGCUCAUCCAUUGUCGGCUGACGUCUGAGCUGCGUCCCUCCUUGGUCUGUGUGUUUGAAUCCCGCCAGUAAUGGGGAUCUCAGAACCUUUCAACAGCAGCCGGUGCCUUUGGAGGCAGCAAGGACUGGAACGAGAGUUUCUCAUCUGAGACUGAAAAUCUGUUUCUGAGCUUCAGUGGCAGUGACCGUACACUGAUAUUUAAGAGGAGCCCGACCGUGGGAAUCAGCUCAUGUGAUUAUGGAGGCCGAGGAGUCCCACGAAACGCUGUUGGCAAGCUGGACACGCAGGCAGCGGAGCUGUGACUCAGUCUGAGGAAGUCCUGGGAACAUGCAGGGCGGGGGCCGGGGCGGCCCUGGCCUGCAUCUGAGUUUGAAGGCUUGGGAGCUUUGGGGUCCUUGGGGUGUCCCAUCCCCAGCAGAGAGAGCACAGUGACCUCCUCCACUGUUUGUCCACCCAGCCCUCAGUGGAUAGGCCCAUGCCCAUCCACCUGGGUGGACUUCACUCAGUCCACGGAGUCAGGGGCUAAGCUCUUCCAACAACGCUCAGAAAUAAAGUCUGGUGUCCCUUAACCCUGGCACGGUGACACCGAAGGUUAGCCGUCACACAGACUGCACAGCCAGCCCCAGCUCUGUUAACUCAGAGCACGUGGAUCUGCUUAGACCAAACAAGACCACACGGCCACCGUGGCCGCCGGCUGCACAUGGCUUUCCAUAGGAGGCUGACCAAACUCUCUGGGAUCCCCCAAGCAGUGCAUCAGGAACCAGGACGUGGUGUGUGAUGGGGACGGGGGGAGCGGGGUGACGUCGCCUCCCCUCAGCUUAUCCUGGAUUCCCUCUGAAGCAGGCCCUGACCCCGUCCUGGGAUCCACACCCAGCCAUCCCCUUGUCAGGGGGCUCUACCUCUGCACAAUCAACCAAUGGCAGGUGGAAGAGAUUUGGGGGAAAAACCCACAUCGAUAAAAAAGAACAAUAUAACAACAAGAAAAGUAGGAAGAAAAAAUCAACAUCACAACUGUUUACGUAGCAUUUACAUUGUGUUAGGCCUUAGGAGUAACCUAGGGAUUGUUUAAAGUACAGGGAGGAAGCCCUUAGGGUCAUAUGCAAGAACCACUGCUGUCAUUUCUAUAAGGGACUCGAGCAACCUCAGAGGUAGGUGACCACGGGGACCUGCAGCACAUCCUCUUUGGAUCCCUGUCCCCUCCUCCAGGUGCAAGGUAGCUGGGGAGCUGCUUCUGGUCUGUUGUGCUCAGCCCAGGGCAGAAGGUACAGGUGCCUGAUCAGACUUGUAACCAGUGCGCCCAGGAGCACACAGGGCCCAGGGGCUGAGGGUGGGUCUUGCUGGCACCUGGCUCCCACUCCGUCUCCGCUGCCCUGGACCAAGCUGGGCCUGCUGCUGUCUCCCCUCGUCCUUGGGUUCCCCGCGGCUGUUGACAGGUGCUGACUGCCUCCUGUCCCGUCCUUUAGGGUGCAGAGCCACCAUCAUUUCAGCAGACCUUGGCCCAGCUGCCAACUCUACUCUUCGUCUGGCCUCCCCCAGCCGCCCACCUGGGACAGGCAGCCAGCAGGACGUGCUGGACUGGGAGGGGACUUGGAGCUCCGCAGCAGGCUCCCUGGGCCUCCCGAGGGGAGGACUGCUUCCAAGAACUGCUUCCCCUCCCGCUGCCCCAGCUCUGACUCAGAGGAAACUGGAAAGAGGACAUGAAAUACCCACAGUUCCAGGGUUCCGUGGGGUCACAGGAUCUGGAGCUCUCCAAGGAGAGGAGGGAGUGCCCGCAGCCGGGGCCCACGGGGCCACGGAACCACGGAACCUCAUGGACGGGUGUCCAUAUCUGUGGUCC